This 1361-nucleotide ribosomal RNA is filed under the name uncultured bacterium. RNAcentral's name for it is "bacterial SSU rRNA". It matches the Rfam family "Bacterial small subunit ribosomal RNA", at positions 28 to 1381 of the family's 1533-position model. The record is from RNAcentral.
AUUGAACGCUGGCGGCAGGCCUAACACAUGCAAGUCGAACGGUAGCACAGAGAGCUUGCUCUCGGGUGACGAGUGGCGGACGGGUGAGUAAUGUCUGGGAAACUGCCCGAUGGAGGGGGAUAACUACUGGAAACGGUAGCUAAUACCGCAUAACGUCGCAAGACCAAAGAGGGGGACCUUCGGGCCUCUUGCCAUCGGAUGUGCCCAGAUGGGAUUAGCUUGUAGGUGAGGUAACGGCUCACCUAGGCGACGAUCCCUAGCUGGUCUGAGAGGAUGACCAGCCACACUGGAACUGAGACACGGUCCAGACUCCUACGGGAGGCAGCAGUGGGGAAUAUUGCACAAUGGGCGCAAGCCUGAUGCAGCCAUGCCGCGUGUAUGAAGAAGGCCUUCGGGUUGUAAAGUACUUUCAGCGGGGAGGAAGGGAGUGAGGUUAAUAACCUCAUUCAUUGACGUUACCCGCAGAAGAAGCACCGGCUAACUCCGUGCCAGCAGCCGCGGUAAUACGGAGGGUGCGAGCGUUAAUCGGAAUUACUGGGCGUAAAGCGCACGCAGGCGGUCUGUCAAGUCGGAUGUGAAAUCCCCGGGCUCAACCUGGGAACUGCAUUCGAAACUGGCAGGCUGGAGUCUUGUAGAGGGGGGUAGAAUUCCAGGUGUAGCGGUGAAAUGCGUAGAGAUCUGGAGGAAUACCGGUGGCGAAGGCGGCCCCCUGGACAAAGACUGACGCUCAGGUGCGAAAGCGUGGGGAGCAAACAGGAUUAGAUACCCUGGUAGUCCACGCUGUAAACGAUGUCGACUUGGAGGUUGUUCCCUUGAGGAGUGGCUUCCGGAGCUAACGCGUUAAGUCGACCGCCUGGGGAGUACGGCCGCAAGGUUAAAACUCAAAUGAAUUGACGGGGGCCCGCACAAGCGGUGGAGCAUGUGGUUUAAUUCGAUGCAACGCGAAGAACCUUACCUACUCUUGACAUCCAGAGAACUUAGCAGAGAUGCUUUGGUGCCUUCGGGAACUCUGAGACAGGUGCUGCAUGGCUGUCGUCAGCUCGUGUUGUGAAAUGUUGGGUUAAGUCCCGCAACGAGCGCAACCCUUAUCCUUUGUUGCCAGCGAUUCGGUCGGGGACUCAAAGGAGACUGCCAGUGAUAAACUGGAGGAAGGUGGGGGUGACGUCAAGUCAUCAUGGCCCUUACGAGUAGGGCUACACACGUGCUACAAUGGCAUAUACAAAGAGAAGCGACCUCGCGAGAGCAAGCGGACCUCAUAAAGUAUGUCGUAGUCCGGAUUGGAGUCUGCAACUCGACUCCAUGAAGUCGGAAUCGCUAGUAAUCGUGGAUCAGAAUGCCACGGUGAAUACGUUCCCGGGCCU